Cyprinodon variegatus (sheepshead minnow) is the source of this 7316-nucleotide RNA transcript. It is a transcript of the gene named mediator complex subunit 13, with no coding region annotated. Lineage: Eukaryota; Metazoa; Chordata; Actinopteri; Cyprinodontiformes; Cyprinodontidae. The transcript is spliced from 31 exons. The record is from RefSeq and is a predicted model, not a curated record.
AUGAGUUCUUGUUUCGUACCGAACGGGGCCAGCUUGGAGGAUUGCCAUUCCAAUCUAUUCUGUCUGGCUGACUUGACGGGGAUCAGAUGGAAGAAGUUUGUGUGGCAGGGCCCCACCUCUGCUCCCAUCCUCUUCCCGGUGACGGAGGAGGACCCCAUCCUGUGCAGCUUCAGCCGCUGCCUUAAGGCCGACGUGCUGAGCGUGUGGCGGCGCAGCCAGCGGCAGGGCUGGAGAGAGCUCUGGCUCUUCUGGUGGGGGGACGACCCCAACUUCGCUAAUCUGAUCCACCAUGAGCUGGCAGCCGAGGAUGAUGACGAGUGGGAGAACGGCCUCUCCUACGAGUGUCGCACUCUGCUGUUCAAAGCCAUCCACAACCUGCUGGAGCGCUGCCUCAUGAACCGCGGCUUUGUACGCCUCGGCAAGUGGUUCGUCAAACCCUACGAGAAGCACGAGAAGCCGAUCAACAAGAGUGAGCACUUGUCCUGCGCUUUCACCUUCUUCCUGCACGGCGAGAACAACGUGUGCACCAGUGUGGAGAUCAACCAGCACCAGCCCAUCUACCACCUUACAGAGGAGCACCUGGCCCUGGCCCAGCAGGCCUCCAGCCCGUUUCAAGUCAUCCUGAGUCCAUUUGGCCUGAAGGGAACGCUGACCGGCCAGUCGUUUAAGAUGUCGGACCCCCCCACGCAGAAGCUGAUCGAGGAGUGGAACCAGUUUUAUCCCAUCAGUCGCAGCAACAAGGACGGGGCUUUAGACGAUAAGUCUGAGGUUCUGGACUGGGAGGAUGAUUCUCUGGCCUCUGUAGAGGUCCUUGUCGGCGGAGUGCGUAUGGUUUACCCAGCCUGCCUGGUGCUCGUACCCCAGUCAGACAUCCCCGUCGUGGCCCCUGUGGGGUCCUCUCACUGCACUGCCGUCUACCCGGGUGGCCAACAAGUGCCUGCUUCCCAGCGAGAGCCUGCCAUGUCACUGGUGACCCUCACCCCUCCCACGUCACCAGAGGACGCUCACACAGUCGACUCUCAUUCGGCCCAAAAGUGGGUUAAGAUGCCAUCAUCGUCAGAUUCUUUCAGCGUGGACAGAACGAGUCACCACGGGGGGAAGAUUCCUCGCAGGAUGGCCAGUCAGGUGGUGGAGCGUGUCUGGCAAGAGUGCAAUAUCAACAGAGCGCGGAACAAGCGGAAGUUUCCAGCUGCGUCCAACGGUACCUGUGAAGACGAGGUGGAGGCCAAAGUCGGAGCCUGGGAUUUUGUGGUGCCUUCCCAGAGAUCCUGCUGUGGCUGCUCCAGACAUAAAAACGUAGCGAAGCAGCGCCCGGGCGGCGCCCCGGGCCAAACACAGUCCACGGCUCAGGCCUCCCAGCCUCCAGCCAAGCACAAAACUGGAGGAGAGAAGCCGGAGAAAGGAGAGAAGCAGCCCAAGAGGCCGCAGACGCCGUUCCAUCACCGCAGCUCCACCAGCGAGGAGGCCUCCAUGGAGAACGAGGCGGCGGUGGGCCAGAGGCUGGCCCUGAGGGGGCAGGACGGGGGACGCUUCCGAUCCUCCGAUGUUAGCAGCCUCACUAAAGCCACGCAGCUCCACGGCGAAGCCAUCGGUGCGGGGCCCUCAGAACAGUCCAACUCCCCCCAGCCCCCGCCACUUAGCCCCCACCCCUGCGAGCGCAGUGAGGAGUCAGGGGAGGCCAUAAAGAACCCUUCCACCCCCAACAGCCAACACUUUUACCAGCUGCCCCCAGAGCCCUGCCUGGCGGGGGCGAAGGGAGGCAGCGAGGAACCCGGCGGCCCCGAGGGCAUCAGUCAGCACUUUCACUCCCAUCCAGGGAACUCGGCUUUCUCCGAGCCUCCUGAGCCCACCAUGUACGUGGGAGCAGCCGUCGACCUGGAGGACGACGGCUCCCACACACCGUGGAGGUUAUUCAACCUGCCUCGCAGGAAGGAGGCGGAGCUACCUACGCCGCCGCUGCCUGGAGACAAGCUGAGGGACGAGGCCGCCGCAUCGCAGGACCUGGUGUCGGUCACAGAAGUGAUGUCUACAUCUAAAAUGCCACUAAAGGUGUCUGAGGAGCGGCUUCAGAUGUAUAGAGCCAGGAGGAACCAGUACUUAUCUGCUGCCGUCACGGAUGGAGACCACGAGCCCGAGGUGGACCCCUACGCCUUCGAGGAAGGAGACGUCAAGUUCACAUUCUCCAACAAGAAGGAUAAAGGGGCGGGAGAGCGGGAGCCAGGCAAGAAGAACAAGGGUGAAGAUGGAGGAGCCGGUCAAACUGAUGAUGCCCAACACGCCGCUGCUCAAAACCGCAUGACCUCCAGCAGCCUGAUGCACGUGACGGACCUGGUGGUUUCCUUCAACGACCUCGACAACCUUUUCAACUCUGAUGAGGAUGAUCUAACGCCCGGUACCAGGCGGCCUGUGAACGGGACCGAUGAGAAGUUUGGCAAAGAGUCAAAGCCAUCCUCGUUGGACCCAGCCUCCUGCAUUAGUUCAGACCUACAGAGUUUUCCCACGCCUCCAUCCCUCGAGCAGCAGAUCAUGGGUUACUCGCCCAUGAACAUGUGCAGCAAAGAUUACGGCAUCAUGGAGACUAACCACGGCAUGACCAUGCUGGACGGGACCUCUGUGCUGGGGGGCCACUUCAAGAUCGAGGUGGAGGAGAGCUUCUGCAGCCCCAAACCGUCUGAGAUCAAGGACUAUUCGUUUGUGUACAAGCCCGAGCUGUGCCAGGCGUUUGUAGGCUGCUCCAUGUUCGCCCCCCUGAAGACGCUGCCCAGCCAGUGCCUCCCCCCUGUCAAACUACCAGAGGACUGCGUCUACCGAGCGAGCUGGACCAUGACCCGAGACGUGCUGCAUCCUGUGCCAGUGUUGGGCUUCCUAAACAAAGACAGUAAUAUUCCCAGUGUGGGCAGCACCAUGGACCAGGACUACACCCAGACCUACACCCCCCAGACCCACACUCCUUUCAUGUCCAACAGCGCCCCCCCCAGCAACAGCGGCGCCGGCAUCCUGCCUUCCCCCGCUACGCCACGCUUCUCCGCCCCAACCCCACGCACGCCUCGGACUCCGCGCACCCCUCGGGGCCCCUCCAGCGUCCAAGGCUCAGUAAAGUACGAGAAUUCGGACCUGUACUCUCCGGCCUCCACGCCUUCGACGUGCCGACCGCUGAACUCGGUGGAGCCGGCCACAGUCCCCUCCAUCCCCGAAGCCCACAGCCUCUACGUGACGCUGAUCCUCUCCGAGUCGGUCAUGAACCUCUUCAAGGACUGCAACUUCGACAGCUGCUGCAUCUGCGUGUGCAACAUGAACAUCAAGGGAGCCGACGUGGGCGUGUACCUGAGCGGCGCCGACGGGGAGGACCAAGAACCCUGCAGCUGCGGCUUCAGCGCCGUGGUGAACAGGCGCUACGGACACGGCUCGGGCCUCUUCCUGGAGGACGAGCUGGACAUCAUGGGCCGCGGCUCGGACGUCAGCAAGGAGGCGGAGAAGACCUUCGAGGAGCAGAGGCUGUCGUCACUGGAGAGGACGGGGGUCAGAAACGGGGACGGCUUCCCAGACGAGCUGAUUUUGCUCCUGCAGGACCAAUGCACAAACCCAUUUUCACCCAUCUCGGUAACAGAGCAUGAGGCGGCGGCGUGGGGGCCGAGCGGGGCCCCUAUACCCGCCUGCAUACGAGUGGAGGAGAGGGACUACCGCAACGACUGCUACAUGGCUCUGGAACACGGCAGGCAGUUCAUGGACAACAUGUCUGGAGGCAAAGUGGACGAGGCGCUGGUGAAGAGCAGCUGCCUGCACCACUGGGCCAAACAAAACGCGGUGGACGUGAGUUCCCUGUGCUCUCAGGAUGUGCUGCGGGUGCUGAUGUCGCUCCAGCCUGUUCUCCAGGACGCCAUCCAGAAAAGGAGGACAGUGCGGUCGUGGGGGGUGCAGGGUCCCCUCACCUGGCAGCAGUUCCACAAGAUGGCAGGGCGGGGCUCCUACGGCACAGACGAGUCUCCAGAGCCUCUGCCCAUCCCCACCUUCAUGGUGGGCUAUGAGUCUGAUUCCGAGUUCGUGGUCCUGUCUCCGUUCGGUUUGCCGUACUGGGAGAAGCUUCAGCUGGAACCGUACGGCUCUCAGCGGGACAUCGGGUACGUCGUCGUUUGUCCCGACAGCGAAGCCAUGCUCAGCGGCGCCAAAAGCUUCUUCAGAGACCUCACAGCUGUUUACGAGUCCUGUCGCCUGGGUCAGCACCGGCCUAUUUCCAAGAGUUACCCUGAUGGGAUCGUCGUCGUUGGCGGCAGUGCAGCCAAAAACGUCAUGGAUCAGCCCGUCAGCGACUGGUUCCUUAAGGCUGCCAGCAGCAACAGCGACGCCUUCACCAAGCUAAAGCUCUAUGCACAAGUUUGCCGGCACAACCUCGCUCCUUACCUCGCCUCUCAGACAUUAGAUAGUUCACUCCUCACACAGCCUAGUGCCUCUUCUUCAUCCAGCCACACUUCAUCCAAUCAACAGUCUAGCUCCACCUCUACCACAGCCAGCCAGCAAACCCCCUCAGCACCCAACAGCAGCAGCACCAACGGCGGCUCUGGAAACGCCUCCGCUUCAUCCAACGGCCUGCCGGCGUCCUCGGGCCAGCCGGGCAGCACCGUGCCAUCUGGAAAGCCCAACUCUUUCCCGCCUUUCGGAACCGUGAACAGCCAGGGUUCCCAGAGCGGACAGCAGGCCGCCACCCAGAACGCUUCCACCUCAGGGGACGGCUCCAGCAGCCAGGCGCAGGGGCCCACAGAGCCUCCUGAAAGCACUUUGGAGCGGGAGAAGAUAGGCGUGCCUACAGACGGGGAGUCCCACGCCGUCACCUACCCUCCUGCCAUUGUUGUUUACAUCGUGGACCCCUUUAGCUACGAGGAGGCAGACAGUGGCUCCCAUUCCAGCGUUUGGACGCUGGGUUUGCUGCGCUGUUACCUGGAGAUGCUUCACUUUCUGCCUCCAAACAUUCGCAACUCUAUUUCUGUACAGAUUAUUCCAUGUCAGUAUCUGCUUCAGCAAGUCAGAGGAGAAGACCAUCACAUCUACGCACAGCACCUCAAAUCCCUGGCCUUCUCCGUCUUCACUCAGUGCAGACGGCCGCUGCCCACCUCCACCAACGUCAAGUCACUAACGGGCUUCGGCCCCGGCUUAGCCAUCGACAACUCACUCAAGAGCUCAGAGAGGCCAGAGUGUUUGCGUCUCUACACGCCUCCAUUUAUCCUGGCUCCAGUAAAGGACAAGCAGACGGGGCUGGGCGAGACGUUUGGUGAAGCAUCACAAAAAUACCAUGUGCUGUUUGUGGGAUACUGUCUGUCCCACGACCAGCGCUGGCUUCUGGCUACAUGCACUGAUCUGUACGGGGAACUGCUGGAGACCAACAUCAUCAACAUCGACGUGCCCAACAGAGCUCGGAGGAAAAAAGGCUCCGUACGUCGGCUCGGCCUGCAGAAGCUGUGGGAUUGGUGCCUGGGAUUAGUUCAGAUGACAUCUGUUCCUUGGAGAGUGGUGAUUGGCCGGCUGGGCAGGAUGGGGCAUGGAGAGUUAAAAGACUGGAGCAUCUUAUUGAGCAGGAGAAACCUGCAAUCAAUCAGCCGCCGUCUGAAGGAAAUGUGUCGAAUGUGUGGAAUCUCCGCCUCCGACACUCCCAGCAUCCUCAGUGUGUGCCUGGUCGCCAUGGAGCCGCAGGGAUCCUUCAUCAUCAUGCCAGACUCCGUCUCCACAGGCUCCGUGUUUGGCCGGAGCACCACCUUAAACAUGCAGACCUCGCAGCUCAGCACGCCGCAGGACACCUCCUGCACGCACAUCUUGGUGUUUCCCACCUCCGCUUCUCUUCAAGUGGCCAGCUCCAGUUACACCAACAUCGACAACAACAUCGACCUCCUCAACGCCACCACCGAUGGAUCUGGUAUUGGGAUCUUUGACCUGCUUGACCCGGAGAAUGAGUUGGAGGCAGCCAUCAUCAACAUGUCACCCACUACUUCUCCAGUACACUCCCCCAGCCAUAAUUACCACCACGGGGUGGACGGCAGUAAGGGCCAGAGCACAGACCGCAUGGAGUCUCACGAAGAGGUUCCUAACCUCCUGCAGCAGCCGCUGGCGCUUGGUUACCUGGUCUCCACGGCGAAGGCCGGCCCGCUGCCCGACUGGUUCUGGUCGGCCUGUCCGCAGGCUCAGAACCAGUGUCCGCUCUUCCUCAAGGCCUCUUUGCACCUCCAUGUGUCUUCUGUGCAAUCAGACGAGCUUCUGCAUAGCCGGCACUCCCACCCCCUCGACUCCAAUCAGACCUCAGAUGUACUCAGAUUUGUGCUGGAGCAGUACAACACUCUCUCCUGGCUUACGUGUGACCCGGCAACGCAGGACCGAAGAUCAUGUCUGCCCAUUCACUUUGUGGUGCUCAACCAGAUGUACAACUUCAUCAUGACCAUGUUGUAACCAGCAGCCUGUCAGAGGAGAGGCGGAGGAAGGAGAAGCCUUCAAAGAGGAGCAAAGUGGCACCAGAGUACAGAGCUGGAUCCUGUACCCAGAUGGAAUCCCUGCUCCCGGCCCGGCCCGGCAUGGCCCGCCAUCACCAGGACUCAGAGUGUAGAAAACCGGCAACUAAUGAACGCCAGAGAUUGACGGGUUUACUGUCAUGGUAUGUAGCGUGGCAGCAGAGUCACUGGCCAGUCUGUAUUAGAGAGUUUAUCUGUAAUGUUAUUGGAAGAAAAGGGACAUAUUUGAUCUAGGAAAAACGGAUCUCUGCUUUUAAUACGACAAAAUCCUUUUUAAGGCUUUAGAUGAAAAAGUAUCCAAAUGAAAUGCCUGCAUCUAUCUUAUUUAUUGUAAGUUUUUAAAUGUAUAAAUUGUCAUAUUUCUUACCCUCUUUUAUAUAUAAAAUGAAGGUUUAUAUCACCUUCCUGCUUUAAAGCAAUUGGUCUCAGAUAUAUGUAUUCGUCUUAAUAAAGGAACCUGGAAGAAAAUCCCAUAAAAAAAAAAAGAAAUAAAGUCCCAGUAGGUUGCUUUUAGAGUAUUAUUUUUUUGUAACGGAGACAGAAUAUUUGUAUUGUCACAAUGUACAGAAGAAUGAGAGGAGAAUUAUGUUUCAUGCCUUUGAGCAUGAAGGACUUACAGCAAGGCUGUAGCUACAGAGGACUUGUACAGCAAUGAACUUCACUGUGUUCAAAUAAAGAGGUACAUUGUUGUAUAGGAUAUUUUAUACCACACAUUUAGACACAAAAACCAAACUGCAAUAUAUAUAUAUAUAUGUAUAUAUAUAUAUACAUAUAUAUAUACAUGAAUACCACGCCAACUGGUGGUGUGGUUUCUGUUUUAGGAAUAAA